GGGAGGGGACGGCGGGCAGUGACACACACCGGACUGCCUGCAGAGGCUCCGGAGCUGCGCAUCUCAUUGAGGAGUGCCCUGCCCUGCCCGGAGCGCUGCGCACCGCCUGCUGCCCCAGCUGUGCCGGUUGGGAACCACGGGGAACACGCUGAGUUACACGCGUUUCCACAAAGAAAAGCCCACAAACGGUGGGUAUCCGUGUGUCGGACACAAGACGCGCCCAGACAGCAGAGGCUCAAAAGAUUAACGGACCUAAUCCUACCUCUGCGCAUCAGUGCCCAGCAGAUUCAGUGCCCAGCAGAUGACAGACACCUCGAUAGGGACGGGUGUGCACACGAAGGGCUCCCACCCGCACAGACCCCCUCCCAGCCCCGAGCCGCCCUCCCCCCAAAGCACACGGCAGGAACUCACCUGGAGGACCAGACCGGCCCCGCCUGCUUCUUGGGCUUGGCGAUCUGCUUCUGGUACUCCAUCCAGCCGCUCACCAGCUCGUGGAGGAUCAUCACGUAGAGAAGGAAAAUGAGAAUCCUGGGAUCCAUUCGCGGCACUUCGGGAUCCGCCUCAUUGGCCCCUUAGAUAUCGAAAGGAAGAGACUCUUGCCCUUCUCUAUACAGCUGCAGCCAGAUGCACAGAAGCUGGGGGUGCAGGCAGCUCCAAUUCCACAAAGACAAAUGCAGUGUGCAGGUAGGGAUGCUGAUCACGCCGUGUGUCUGUGUAGUAACCGAGCCCAAUGGCAGCAGCCACAGCCCAGGCAAACACACAGCCCGAAGCAUCGCGCGGCUCUCCCUCUGCUAACUGAUGUUUCAUUAAUGAGUUCAGAAGUGCUGAGUAACUCCGGAUUGGGAGCAGCAGAACUCGCAGAUGGAGUGAGAGAGUGAAUGAAAGAUGGGAAUGUUGGGGCUCUGCACAAAAGCGGAGCCGUGUUCCUAUGGCAACAGAGGCAGUUGCCAGGCGGCAGGAGAUGGUCUGAUGGUGGUACCAAUCAUACAGGAGGGCUUUUAGUCUAAAGACAACACCGAUGUGUUCUACAUAUGCAGUUCUUAAUGAGUAAGGGCAGCGUGACUCCUUUGUUCCUAUGAGCAGCACUUUGCACAGAAUCAAAGAGAGAAAUUACACGGGCAAGGCAGGCAGAGCAACACAUAGCAGCUUAAUCCUGGUUUUAUGCCAGGGGCUCCAACUGGUGAAUACAAAAUCAUUAACAAAUAAUCUUCUUGUUGCCGUACGUGACAGCUGGAUCGAUUGCUGCUCCUCCCAAAGCCCCACAGCUGCAGCAUUAACCACCCUACCUCUGCCCUUUGUCAUCCUCAGCCUCCAUGCAAACACUGCCUACAUCUGCAACGCCUCUUAAGUCCUUAAGCAGUUACCUGAGCCCUCUCACACAAUUCUAGCCCUGAAAACGUCACUAAUCUAUGCUUAAUGAGACAUAAGGUAGAAAGCCAGCAAGCCCUGAGCUAUUGCCAGGGCUGACAGCUCGUAUUGUGGCAACUGAUGUCCAAACAGUGACUACUCACAAGCUGGGAGCUCUUUCACUAAUGAUUAAAAAAAAUAAUAAUCAGUGAAUUGCUAUGAGCAGUCUGAUCAGCUCUACCGAAAGCUGUGGUUGCUCUUGUUCCAAAGAAACGUGUAUGGAAAUGAAACGUUCUUCCCUCGAUCUGCUUCACCCUGCCACGAGGAGCAGGAUGUCAGUGUUUGCCAAGGAUCACGCGUAGGACUGGGUGUGAAUUCUUGCUGCUAAAUACAUGGGGAGGGAAGCACCGUGCCUGACUGAUGCGUGUCGGUGUCAAUCUGGGUUGGCUUUAUUUGGGAAGCAGAAAGAUCCCACUUCAGAUCCUGCCAACACCCCCUGAGCUGCCGGUCACGGGGCAGGCAGCAGUGUGCUGGGAACUCCAAAGGGAGGCAGUAAAUGUCAGCUGGGCAACUGCACGCAGUGAGAGCCAGCAGCACCAGGCAGACGUGCAAUGAAGUGUGCAUGCAUGACUGCAUGACUACCAGGUAACACAGACACCUGUGUGCUGAAGCACCCCUUACCUGCAGACUGCCAUUUGCUCGAGUUGCCCACUGCUCUGCAAGUGUUCUGAUGAAGAGCCAGCACUCCUCGGAUGCAUCUUCUCUCCAUCCCCGCUGCUUUCUGACAGCUGUUUGUACAAAAAUGACAAGUAGGUCAAAUCUGGAUAAAGGCUGCAUGAAAGAACUGUCACGGUAGAAGCCGUUCCCCAAGGCUGAGCUGAGGUCUGCUAUUCUUUUGCAAAAGCAGGAUGGAAAUGAGGCCGGUCUCCUCCAUCCAACACACUCAAUCCAGCCGGUUGUGCUGGAAGAAAAUCCUGAAUAGCUGAGCCACCUGCAUGUCUCAACCUGGAUUAGGGCAGAGCAUUCGGCACUGUCCCACAGUACGUCCACAGCUCCAAACUGGAGAGAUAUGGAUGUGAUGGACUGCUUGGUGGGCGAGGAUUUGGAUGGACAGUUGCACUGGGAGAGUUGUGGUCAAUGACAGUUCAGGUCUCUACAGUGCAGGUGGAGUCACUGUCCCUGAAGUGCUCAGGAACUGUGCAGAUGUGGGCAGCACUGGUGGUAGGUAGACAGGUUGAUUAUUCGAUCUUUAGAGGUCUUUUCCAACCUCAGUGAUUCUAUGGCUCUAAAGAGGUGUUUUUAAGAAAGCUGGUAGGUAUCAGUUACCUUUCAUAUUCAUCACAGCCCCAAGGGCAUGUUGCAACACCAAGGAUUGCCCUCGUUCAAGCUUCUUGGAAGCACCAUCACCCCAUUCUUCCACUUGGAAGCUGGCAUAGCUGAAUAACAACCUGGCAAACCCACCCUUCCUCAAGUUGAGCUCACAGAACCUCAAAAGGGCAGCAGAGAAAGGCAGCAAUAAUUGCUUUGGGACCAUAAAUCGGGGUUAAUCCGCACAUCUGACUGAUCACAGCGAUUGGCUUUUUGGAAGGAUCUUUUGAGCCUCCCUGGGAAGAGACAAAGAGCUUCCUGCACCUCCACACACACCGCAGCCAAAGCCCACGAGCACAGCGCUGCCAGGACGGGUGAGGAAGGAACACGGAUCCCUCCUCUGCCCCUUGGCCUCUCCUCAAGGAAGCUGCCUGUAAGAAGUCCUCGCUAAUUACCCGAUUGCUCACUAGAGAUUAAGCAGAGAACACAGCGCAGGUAACAAAUCAGGCCGUGACCUACUGGAUGGGAUGUUUUGUUGUUGCUCCAAUGACAUCAUUUCACCAGUCCCUAAUGGCUUUGGCCCAGUGACCCCGACACCCCGACUGAGGCUUCAAGUGCAUUUUGGGGAAUAAACUUCACCAUCUCCUUCCUCUCAUACACAUGCAGUGCUUCCUUCUGAGCUCAGAGGACAUCCAACAGAGCUGGAACAGAGGGGAGGGGGGCAAACACGACUAGAACCAGGGCCAGGGCAACACAACUCAGCCAAAAGGGUUUUCAGAGUUAAAAAGAGCACCACCCCAUUUGUCAGCAUCUUCCACAGCCUUAACAGAAGACAAACAGAUGCUCUGAGACAGAUUUCUUCCCAAGAUUUUUCAUUGCUCCUACCUAUACAAGUGCUCGAACAAACGCUGAUAAAAACCUUGUGUUCUGAGUCACCAGAUUGCUUUGUAUGCUAAUGACUCAUCAGCAGGAUUUAUUAACAUUCCACCACUUACACGUUCUGUCAACCUGAUCAGCCAACACAGCUUCGGUACAGCACGUGGAUGCUAAAGGAAAGAGAAACAAAACACAGAACUCCAAAAUAACCCUCUCUUGAGCUCUGGACUUCUUUUCUAUGACAACAGGGGAACCCGAAGCAGCUCUGUUGGACUCGAGGACAGACACAGGAAUCAUCUUUCUUGUUCCCUUGCCACAGAACUGACACCCACGGGACCUGGAGAACAAGGGGAAGACACCGAUGCUCACUUGUGGGGUGCUGCUUAAUGCAGACUGCAGAGGCUGUCCAGGAAGGGCUCAGAUAGCAGCAAACACGGAGCUGAAACCCUGCCUGAGGAGUGCUCUGCACAGCGACCUGCACUGCGUGGAGCUGCCCUCCAUUCCUGCCUUACACCCACCUGGAGCUAUCGAUAUUGCAAGAAGCCAUCCCUAUCACCCCACGUCACACAGAGCUCUCCCCACCUCUGGGAGGGCUCCAGCACAGCUAUAGGCACAGCUCUGCCCCACACAGCCCUGGUGCUGCCCUUUGGCCAAGGCACAACGCAGGGUAAGGGGGUAAGUCACAUUUAGAGCACUCAGGUACCUCUUUGUAUACCCAGCAGUCUUCCCCCCACCAGAACUAACCCGUAGGAGACUGUGAAGCCCAAACCAUCUAGCAGCUCCAGCAGCAGCAUCUUGGAGAGGGAUAACUGCAGUUUCUGCUGCAUGGCAUCUGCUCCAGGCUGUGUCACUCAGCCAAACGCCCAGCUCCCUCCCAGCCUUCUGCACCACAACCCACCACUCCCGACCACCCUUCGAAGUGCCCGCGGCAGUGAGGCAGAACGGAGUGUUCUGCCAGCAAGCAGAGGCUGUCAGCAUUCAGACACACAAAGAUGCACAGCUCGAAUUGCUGGGUCCCCACCUCUUCUUAUCCUUGGAGCCGCAGCCUGACAGAGCCCACCCUUACAAUGGUCCCAGCUGUGUGUUCUGUGGGACUAUGUGGGAAAUGGGAUUGGAAAGCCAAAGUUGGCAGGCAGUGCUCUCCAGGAGGUUGGUUUCACAACUGUUCUUUACCACCAGCUGAGGUUUAAUCCAGAAAUGCAGGACGUAACUCCAGCACUGACAGCUGUCAGAAUACAGCCCUCUUUUUGAACAAUAAGCUUCCUUUCAUGGGAGGUAAAUGAUGCAAUGGAGUUGCUCCCAUCUGAAUUUUCUUUUAGAGUUCUGUUGAAGGCACUGGUGAACAUUCUCUGUCCCUCACCAAAGCGCCAGGGUUUCAAUGCCUGAAUUGGAAGGAUCUCCAUGGAAAUCGGGAGCUUUCCUACUAAGGACCAUAGUGGAACAUCUACUACAGCACCUGGCAAAACGCUCCGGUUCUUUCAGAUCACGUUCCAGCCCAGAGGGACUUUUGGUAGAUGUUGCCCAGGCACUGAAACGGCAUCAGCAAGAACCACAUUUUCUUCCUGACUGCCAGGUCUUCAAGUCAGUGCUGGUCAGGGAAGGGCAUGUCCGUCCCCCAAAAGAGCAGUAAUCAGGCAGAGGUAUUACCCCAGCCACAGGGAGAUCCAGAGAAGCAGGACACCAAGGGGGGAGGAAGGCAAGGAAGGGCAUGUGCAGAAGCAGCAGCACAGACCCAGCCCAACACCAGCAUGCCCAGGUGCUGCAGGUACUGCUACAGCAGAGGGGGUAGUGAAGAACACAGCACAUAAAUCCAACAGGUGCUUCCCGGUGGUACCGAAAUCAUUAAGAUCAGAAAAUACAAUUAUUUGAAGUUUUAAAUGCUUGCAAGAGGGGAUUCUGUGAUUUGUAUUUAUCAUUAGCUUUUCUUACCAGUCUCAUUUCAGUGUAUUUUCAUACCUGGUGCUGGUCAGGAAUGUGCCUGGGACAGCGAGACACAGAGCCUUCCUGCAGGAACUGCUGGGAUGGGGCAGAGGAACAUUUCCUUCUAAGCCCAAUGCUGGGCUCCUUACUUUGGCCCCAGAUCAGACAUACAGGACUUCAAGGGUGAGGUUCAGCACGGUGUGAGUCCCCCCUUCAUUUCUGCAAGACCAGGCCAGAUAUGCAAUGUGCAAGCAGACCAACCUCUUCUAACUCAAGCAUCUUCCAAGUGAAACCAGUGGCAGCUUUCCUUUAGGCCGCUGUAUAGAGAGGUGACCAGGAAUCACCUAAAAACAUUCCGACAAAACAGCACGACUCACAACAACCACUGCAUAUCCAGGAGGUCUUCACGUUCUUUCUGUCCAAGCAGAUUUGUUCAGCCUCUUUUUACCUCAGUCCACAAAGAGAUUUCCUUCACCAAAUCAUCGUGUGAGGCAGAAUCUGGAUGAUGUGAACUGAUGCCAUGCCAUGCUUUUGGGGUCAGGUCCUUCAGCAGUAAAUUGUACUUCACCAUAGUAAAUCCAUAGUAAAUGUUUUUUCCAGCAAUUCUGUGUAACCCAGACCUGAUUCUCCUGCUAGCAUUGGCCUCAGUAACUGAAUUUGGGAGCUACUGCUGUCAACUACAAUGCUGCAGUUACAGUGCUCUGUCAAUCUGCUGAUGUACCUCAAUUCAAAUGAGCUGCUUCAAAGUUCAGCAUAACAUUUCAGUCAAAUGUUAACCAUCCAAAAAGCCUGGAGAACCUCUCAGGGCUCUUAGUUACUGUGAUCUCUCUGGAAAAACACACAGAGAGGACCAGAUUGCUCAAGCUAAUUAGAAUUCAUUGUAAAAACUCAUCCCUGAGUCAGACGCAGCAGGUUUGGAAAGAAUACACCAUUUUCCCAUACCACAGGUAUCGCAUCCCCGCUGUAAAGACAAACUGCAACAUGAGUGUAAACAGAGGGCAGGCAGCUCCAGCUCCAUGCUCCGUGCCAGCUGGGAGCGAGUUCAGGCAGCAGUGUGCUCGGAGCAGGGCAGUCAGUGGUGCACUACCCUCUAGUGUGCACCGAUAGCACUGCAUGCAGCUUGCGACCUGCACUGCACCUCACAGCCAGUUACAAAGGACUGCAUAAGGGGGCAUUAAGAAAAGGCAAAGAGGAAAAAAAAAAUCCAGUAAUUCUUUUACACAGUUCGGCUGUACUUCACCCGGCAGUUACACCACAGCACAGUGUGAUCUGACACAAAAGCAUCGGUCUGUAUAAUUGCUGGAGUCAAACCAUUCUCAUCUCUAAGAAUGCCAACAGACUGAGACGGUCACUUCCACAAAGAAGUAUUUUCUGAGAGGUGUUUCUGCUAAUUUAUCACAUCUUCUCACAAGAAAACAAGUCAAGAGAGUGCAGAGUGGCAGCUGUUCCCAUUCUCCCCUGCCCACAUAUCUCCUCUCAGCUGAAGCAACAACCAGCACAGGUAAUCAUCAGUACGUGCCCCACGACUCAAUUUCUUUCUGCCAUCUUUGUAGAUCUUAAAGGCUGGGAAAAGAAAAUCCCCAGCACUGUUGACACA
Gallus gallus (chicken) is the source of this 7048-nucleotide long non-coding RNA. RefSeq lists it as uncharacterized. NCBI's taxonomy places the organism in Eukaryota, Metazoa, Chordata, Aves, Galliformes, Phasianidae. The transcript is spliced from 2 exons. The record is from RefSeq and is a predicted model, not a curated record.